This is a long non-coding RNA of Actinia tenebrosa (Australian red waratah sea anemone), 1494 nucleotides long. Lineage: Eukaryota; Metazoa; Cnidaria; Anthozoa; Actiniaria; Actiniidae. The record is from RefSeq and is a predicted model, not a curated record.
UUUAUUUUUCACCGUUGGCUAUGGACGUAAACACCUAAUUAUAAUUGUUGUGGAAAGUGUUGCGAAAUUUUCAUGAUGGUGAUUGAUUUGCGCUGCGGUUGCCUCAGGGAUUGAAAAAUAUAUUUCAGGUUUCUGAUUGGCAAAGUGUCUUCGAGGUCGGCAUAAUUGAAGGUGGAAAAACUCUUCAAAUUUGAUCAAUACCUAAACCAAUACAACCUCUGGGCUGGUCAAAGUCACGGCUCGAAUACCUCACAGAUCGAAUUAGAAUUUAGCGUGUUAGGUUUUGCAGGGGGAGGAAAGGCGAAGACCCCGGACAAAAUCAAGGGAAAGAUCUAGAAAAACCUUUACUCAUGUGAUGAGCAUAUAGGCAAUUUGUACUGCGCAUGCGCGCGUUAAUAGAAAACAAAAGAAUUUCAGACGCCAUUUUGUUUGGAAUGCACAGUCUGUGGGUUUUCUGAUCAACGUUCUCAGAAUUUAGAGGCAUUCGAUGGAAGAGCUUCAAAGAGGAUCAAAACUAGAGAYGAAGGACUAGCACAUGAGCAUAUCAACAAGUACAUAGUCCUUUUAUUUGGAGAUAAAUCACUCGUCAAAAUGUGCCCGAAAGGGAAAAACCUCAAGACAUGGUUCACUUUGUUCCUGUUGUAUUUCAAAUCUAACCAGUAAAUUGARGAAAUCUUUCUUUAAGGUGUGCAAUUUUUUUGUACUGAAAAAUUGUGUGGCAUAUGGUGUUAAAGGAAAUGUUAAGACCAUCCCAGCUACCUCAGCAUAUCCUCAAAUCUUGGGUAAUUUUCCUUGUUUAGGUUUACCAAGAUCUUCAAGUUGUUGGUUGUUGAAAUAUCUAUAUAAGGUAGAGGUGUAUGAUGAAAAGGUAGUCUGCUGGUCCUGAGAAGAAGGAAGGUGGAUAGGAAUGAAUUAUUUUUCAAACUAUACAAGGAGUGAAUGUUGUUUUGAAUUGUUCCUUUCUAUAUUUUCAUUGUCAAGACUAAAUUAAAAUUAAAAUUUAAGUAAACCGACAAGCUGCACUGUUGUAUUGAUGUACUGGUCCAAUCCUAUGACAAUCACUAUAGUAAAUGAGGCUGCAAUAUACUAUCAUUUUUAGUCUAAUAUAUAGAUGUCCACAACUGACCAGGUCUGACCAAAUUURUUUUUUAAUCUUGGGAUGACAGCAUCAUUAGGAUUAAUUUAGAUGGGUAUCUCAUGACAUUUUUCAUGGAUGGUGAUACAAUUAAUUUGAUUAUAUACUAUUCUGUUAAUUAUCUGCACAGGUUGUUCAUGAUCAUGGUUAUGUUUCUUUAAUUGGGAAGGUUUGGCUUUAAAAAAUUCUUUCUUUAGAAAGGGGGUUACUUAUUAGAAAGGGGGGGUUUAUUCGAGAGGGGAUGCUUAAUAGAGGAUUUACAGCAAGUGCACAUAUACUUUAUUGGGCCUUUUCUUUCUCUUAUAUAUUAAGUCAGUCUAACCAUGAAACAUGAGUAAAAAAGGAAAUUUUACCAGUUA